ACCGAGCAGCCAAAGAGUGUUAUCCCAAAGCAGCGGAAUUGUCAAAUUGACGAGAAAGUCCGGACAGUAUCCGUGAGGACGAAAAGCUUGAGAGGGUCACGGUAGACCGUCGGUGCCAUAAUGUGAAGCACCAAAUCCCAACUCAAAAGAACAAAAAGAGCCUUCUUGUCCUGAGCCGAAAGUGGAGCGCCAUGUCCCAAUAUCUUUCUCGACCUAUUCUCAAACUUUAAAUCUGUAAGACCUGCAGGUUUCUUAAUUGAACUUGUGGAUGUGAAUAUCAAGUUGUUAGUGGGCCAUACGGGGUAAGCUCGUCUGGCGAUGCGGGAUGAACCGAACGCAAAGUUAAAGUGCCAAAAUACUCGCUCACCUAGAUACCAUAAAAGGUGUUGGUUCAUAUAGACAGCAGGACGGUGGCCAUGGAAGUCGGAAUCCGCUAAGGAGUGUGUAACAACUCACCUGCCGAAUGAACUAGCCCUGAAAAUGGAUGGCGCUAAAGCGGGUUACUUAUACUUUGCCGUUAGCGCGAUAACAUGAGUAGUGUAAGCGUUAAUGAGUAGGAGGGCGUGUGGGUCGUUAAGAAGCUUGUGACGUAAGUCUGAGUGAAACGGCCUUCAGUGCAGAUCUUGGUGGUAGUAGCAAAUAUUCAAAUGUGAACUUUGAAGACUGAAGUGGAGAAAGGUUCCGUGUGAUCAGUAAUUGGACACGGGUGAGUCGAUCCUAAGAGAUAGGAAAAUUCCGAUUGAAAGUAGAGCAGUUUGAGGCGCGGGUUUACUCGUGUUUUAUUUCAGCUUCGAAUAUCGAAAGGGAAUCAGGUUAAUAUUCCUGAACCGAGACGUGGAUAAUAUGUGGUAACACAACCGAACCAGGAGACGCUAAUCCAC
RNAcentral lists this non-coding RNA (881 nucleotides) under Hyaloperonospora arabidopsidis Emoy2. Its description in RNAcentral is "Eukaryotic large subunit ribosomal RNA". It matches the Rfam family "Eukaryotic large subunit ribosomal RNA", at positions 1036 to 1676 of the family's 3401-position model. The record is from Rfam by way of RNAcentral. Lineage: Eukaryota; Oomycota; Peronosporomycetes; Peronosporales; Peronosporaceae.